This is a long non-coding RNA of Monomorium pharaonis (pharaoh ant), 5568 nucleotides long. RefSeq lists it as uncharacterized. The transcript has 4 exons. NCBI's taxonomy places the organism in Eukaryota, Metazoa, Arthropoda, Insecta, Hymenoptera, Formicidae. The record is from RefSeq and is a predicted model, not a curated record.
UAGCGUCCGAUUGCACUUGGAUAGAUCCAAAAUAAUAUUGGUCUAAGUGAAAAAGUAGAUAUAAUGUUAAAAUAUCAAUUGCGUCUGCCUGUAUGUUCAUCGAAGGACUGCAAUUAUCGACAGAUCUACGUUCAAAAAACAUAACCUUGGCUCGUUCUGUUGCUCCGCGCCGGGACAUGCGUUGUGUCAACGCGUUUCCUUCUUCGAAUAAUUUUUGCUGAACAAUUAGCCGAUACUAAUUAGUAACAAUGUGCGAGUGUGGGAUGAUUACUCGGUAGUGAUUAAUAGCAGAGAGAAACCAGAGAGCGGCCACCGCAGCCUUUUUCGUGCGUCCGAUAUUUGAUAAUUCGACUAGCAUUAGCGUUGGCGCCAAACGUCGAUGUAAAGCCCGUCCUACAUCAAUCGUAGUCGCUAGUCCAAUUUGCAACACCCAAUGGCUGUCGAGCUUGAACUUAGAAACUAAGCGCUUAUUGGAUGCUUUGCGAUUAAUGUAAAACGGACUUUAUAUUCACAUUUGGCGCUGAUGCUAGUCAAAUAUCGGUCGCACGAAAAAGGCCGCGGUGGUCGCUCUCAGGUUUCCUCUUUAAUUAACCGAUUAAUAGAUUAAUAAAUCACUCGAUCAAGUGCGCGAGUAGAUUUGUUACGCAUCGCGCGACAAGAAAGAACAAACUUAUGACUUAUCGCGCGGUUUAUUACAUGCAAAGUGUUUAUUCCCGGCAAAAUUCAUCCGCCAAGCAGUAUGAAGACAUCAAAUUUGUAAUCUUUCGGCCAUGUUGAGAAUGAUGAGUCAUGUCGCCUCUGCCUACUUUCUGGAUGCCUCCCGUGAUUCGAAAGUUAAUUGUUAUUGUCCAACGCAUACAAUCCCACAGAGACGGCUAAUCUGCACAGUUAUUUAAGAUAAUCUCUUACGCAAAUCUGAUACGUUGGAGGAAGUUUAUAAAGCUUAUUAUGAGUGAAGACCACACAGUUAGGUCAACGACAUGAAAUCACGUUAGCAGGUGAAACAACGAAGCCCAUCUCGAGUUAGACCAGUUCGAGGGUCGGUGUUUUCAGGACACAACGACGUGCAGCAGCCGAGAGUAAGCAAUUUGUACAAAUUAACUCACGCACCACGAAACUUUCUCACUGUCGAAACGGAGGUGGAAACCCCAAUGGCGACGACGGUACGCGGAAUUCUAGAAAUUCUGGCCCGAGACAUGAGGACAAACGCGCGCCAGGAACGCCAUUUCGCGCGAAGGCACGAAGGACAACUGCAGUUACGAUUAUGGGAGUUGUGCCCUGCCUGGGUACCUCUACUUACAGCAUAUUAGCGACCUGAGACGGCCAUUAAACUGGGCUCUUACAAGAUAGACCGUAACAUUGCACGACGCCACGAUUGCCGACCCCUGGCUUCUCUCUCGUCUCUGCCUCGUACUUACGCUGGUCCCCCGGUAAUGACCUUACUUACACGUCACUCAUUUAUAAAAUAGGUAAGACUUUCGCGACCCGAGCCACCUGGAACGCCACUUGGAAGGAAACGACGUCGAUCUAUCGGCGAUAACUUCGUAAUUACACGAGCCAUCGUAAUGACACGUUCAGAAAAUUAAUCGAAUUACUUAACAGGAUUACUUCGUUUCCAACGUUGGCGGAAAUUGCUUUUCUAUAAAAGUUUCUUUAGAAAAAUAUACAAUCGUAAGAUAUAUCACUUUGCCAGAUGCUUUCGUUUAAUGUGAUUGCUGAAAAUAAUUUACCGGAGGCAAUAUGUGUGCAUGGCGUGAGCACUCGAAGGAGAAAGAGGGUUAAAUGAGGAUGCGGAGAACCGUAAUAAUGAGGCACGUCCCAAGAAAGCGAAGCUCAUUGACUUGCCAAGAGCAAAAGGUUGCAUAAUAGCAGACCGUUACGUGACGCGGUGAAUUCAUCGCAAUUAUAUACAGUCGUUUCGGAAUUUCGAGCAUAUCUUCUCGCGUAAAUUUUUCGCGCCAAUAACAGCGAAUUGAAAAUUAUGUUCUCGAAAUUCCGGCCGUCAAGGCGUGGAUUUCUCAUGGAACAUGGCAGACAAGGAUAAUGAGACUUUGACCCAACUCCGACAGAAAUCAUCGUAAUCUGUCUUGUGGUAAUAAAAAAAAAAAGCUGUAACAAAAAAGUCGAGAGUUAUUCCGCGCGGAGGCGGAUUUAUCGGCUCGUUCGAUGUAACUUCCGUUAAAUGUGUUCGGAACAUGUAAAAGUUUAUAUGUUACGAUUCAGCAGUCACAGUGCCGGACACAUCUACUUUUGCAAUCCGAUUACGUUGGGUAGUAAAACUGAAUUGGCCGUAGGAUAACUCUAGCAUACUAUCCGUUUCGAUAUCCUUCGUGCAUUAGCCUCAUUACGGGGACCGGUUAAAAUCCAGCCGCGCUAAUAGCGUUUAAUUGACCCUCGUCCGAGUGUCAAUGAAACACGCGGUCUUGCCUCUGUCAUAGCACCGACCAUUAAUUGCGCAUAGCAAGAGCGCAAUAAUUUGCCAAUUUUCCUCAAAUAAUUUUCGCGCCAGUCGUAAACUCCAACGCGAGUGUUAAACAAAGUUUGCGGUAAAGAUGUCACAAAUAAUAUAAUUAAUUACAGAUUAAAGAAUGAAAAAAGGAAAUUUAAAAUUGCAUAGUUAUUAAUGCAAUAAAGUUUCUUCGGAUUAUCGGAGUUAUAUUUUCUUAUUAUCUCUAUUAUAAUAUUUAAAGUCAUAUUUCAUAUUUAAAGAACGCUUAAAGCUCUUCAGCCGCUAACCCAUCCUGACGGUAAGUAGAAACUGGCGAGCCGUCUCAAUGGCGGUACAUAAUUAAUCGAUCGUUAAUGUUUUCGAGAGAGACGGAGGAGAAGGCUGACGGAGGACCGGCCCAUUCUUCGUGGAGUGUUCGAUCGACUGGAUAUUAGAGUGUUUACCCAAGCUUUACGAAGCUACUCGGCGCAUUGUCUGUUUGCACGAGAGAACGGCACGGCUCCCGGAGGACUGUCUAACGACAUUAGCUUGGGAUUUGUCUUCGGGGCUGGAUACGACGACUACGAGAGGGAAAGCGAGAGGAGGUACACGCUAUUAAUAUUGCGCCGGUAUCGCAGUUUCGCCAGACUCCGCCGUCCUUAAGGGAGAUACGCGCGUGGAUAAGGCGAGACGCGCGUUGGCACCGGCGCAACUCGACACGGGAAAUGAAGCUGUCCCUAUCGUUCUUUAUUGAAAUCACGACGACAGAAUGGCCUACGCAUUACGUACGUCAUAAGAUUCCUCGCAAGGUAUGCCGCUAGCAUAAUACCCAUUCUUCUUUAUCUUAUUUAUGUAUUUCUUUUACGUUUUUGUCUUAAAAUUGAUACACAAAAUUAUCUUUCGAUCUCUGAGACGUUAAUUUUUUUGCAAUAAAUUCUUUAUAGUAUUUAAAGGGAGAAUUUGUAUUAACAUUAUUAUUAUUAAAUUGAUUAUCAAUUUUAUUCAAUUUAGAACCGUGUUUCAGAAAUCGAAAAUUCAGCGCAGUUUGAUAAGCUUGAAAUGUACAUAAUGUCACAAAGAAAAUGUCAACUGUGAUGGAAUAAAGAACUUUUUUAAUUAAUUGUGUUUUUCAUAUUGGUCUACAUGCUCCCCCUAUUACUGUUUAAAAUUAUUUUACGAUAGUUAAAAAUAUCCUUUCUGCGCGGUAAAUAAACGCGCAACCGUAAACCAAUUCUAACUGGAAAUUAUUUUAUCAUUCAGCCAUUGGCACAACGCUCGGUAAGCACGAGUCGUUAAUUUGACGACAACGAAUGAGGCCGGAAUAUCCGCCACGGUCGAGAUAUAAUUAUAUAAACAAUGAUGCCAGACUGUUGUGAAAUAAUGACAGAAACGGUACGUCUCUUCUCCCCCUGGGAACGACCCACGUAAGAGGUGCUUCAUUAAAUACUUGGAUCCCUAAGAGACUUCUCCCUUCUUCAUUGCGAAUUGGCAAGGAGCAAAGGGAAUGAUUAUAAUAAUAAUUACAAGGAUAUUAAUAAUCGCGGGAGAUACGCGGAUAACGAGAUCCAUGCAAACUUUAAUAAACUUCCGGUGAACGAAAUUGUGCGCCAUUAAACGACCGACAUUGCUGCAGUCGUCGUGGCACAAAUUAGAAUUUGCCAUUUACCGUCAAUCAUAUAUAACGUCCUCCGAUUCGUCGAGGAACUUAUCUCGAGGAAUACCUCGCCGUGCCGUCCGCCACUUGACCGUCCUUUGUUCGUUCCCUCCGACGGUUGUUUUUCAUCAGAGAAGAUUAAUAAAACUCAUCAGCAGCUCGCUAGCAGAAGUGCCAAACAUUCCCGGUAUCACAAACGCGUCCGCCGUCGUUGAACGCGCAUCCGGAAAGCGAAUAUAAAUGCAAAUGAAAUUUGGAGAAAACCGCGGGCGGGCCCUCCUCCAGCGGCGUGCAAAAAUUUUCCAGCGAGUCAAGGGUAUAGCGUCAUAUCGAAAACGGUCACGCGGCCCCGGGAGAAAACGUUAUUAAUAACAGAGAGGGUGACAGCGGGGGUGACCCUGCCCCGGGAUUCUCUCCGCUCGGCGAAGGCAAGCCACCCCUGAGUUGACGCGCGAGACGCCUAAUGACAAUUAAUUUAAUGUCUUCGUCGGAAAGCACGCGGGGACAUCUCUCGCGACGGGCCUUUGAGACGCUUCCGUUUCUGACGAGGGGCAGAAUGGUAUAUCAGAGUGGUCGCGGGCUACCGCACUAGAAUCUGCCUCGAGCGCCUCGGACCGGCCGUUGGCCGAUCCAUUAAUCACGAAUGAGCGCCGCGCGAAUAAUAAUUGAUCCCGAAUCCUCAAGGCGGCCUCGAUUUAGCAGGCACUACUCCUUGUGAUGAUUAUUUGAGUGAAGAGCUGAGCUGGAACCCCGCCACGCCGAGAAACGCGUCUUGCCGCACAACUCGAAACGUAUUCCGCUCGCCGGACGUAAAUCAUUACGGAUUUGUGCGGAGUGUGCCCCUCGCGGGACGAAGUAGCGACUAUAUUUAGAGAAUUUUUGAGUAAUUCAACUUCCACUCACUUUCGUCCCCGUGCCGAUCCCGUUUAGAACCGUAACGCUUCGAGUUUUUUUUUUUUCCGUCGUGCUCGCUCGCUUGUUACGAGCAAGUUUGAAAUUGUCGUGGUGCUACAAUGGGUCCAUUAAUCAAGCGCUCGAACGCGUAUCUUUUGAAUGGCGAUUGAUCCCACGCCCCAAAUGGAUUUUUGCCCGGAGCUACUCGCCGCGCUACCACGACUCGCUCACCCUCCGAGGGGCAAUAACGACUUCACCACGGCGAUAUCGAUGUAUCGGCGAUCCGAUGUCUGGUACGUGACGUGGUGUGUUUUCAGGACCCGCAGGUGUGCUUAAAAUUGCGUUCGUGGAAAAUAUAAUGUGGCCGCGGAUAUAACAAUUUUCCUUCGUUAUACCGAUUCUCGCGUUCUAUCUAUUGUUUCUUCUAAUUAGCUCUGCGUUAAUAAUGCGAUUAAUUAAUGUAAAAAGGUAAAAAGCGAUAGCGUAAAUGUGUAUGUAUAAUUCUUUGUUUGCUAAAAUUAUCUGCGCGGUCUUAAAAUUUUGUAACAAUUUUUCCUAUAUUUAUAUCACAUUUUUAACAAUAGGAAAAAAU